Molecule: ribosomal RNA, 497 nt
Filed under: uncultured bacterium
Lineage: Bacteria
Description: partial 16S ribosomal RNA
Rfam family: Bacterial small subunit ribosomal RNA
Source: RNAcentral
GAUGAACGCUGGCGGCGUGCCUAAUACAUGCAAGUCGAGCGAACGGACGAGAAGCUUGCUUCUCUGAUGUUAGCGGCGGACGGGUGAGUAACACGUGGAUAACCUACCUAUCAGACUGGGAUCACUUCGGGAAACCGGAGCUUAUACCGGAUAAUCUUUUGAUCCGCAUGGUUCAAAAGUAAAAGACGGUCUUGCUGUCACUUAUAGAUGGAUCCGGGCUGCAUUAGCUAGUUGGUACGUUAACGGCUUACCACGGCAAGUAUGCAUAGCCGACCUGAGAGGGUGGUAGGCCACAUGGGAACUGGAACGGGGUCCAGGCGCCUAAGAGAGGCAGCAGAAGGGUAUCGGCCGCAGUAGGCGAGAGUCUUGCGGAGCGACGGCGCGUGAGAGAUGAAGGUCUUCCGAUCGUAAAACUCUGUUAUGAGGGGAGAACAUAUGUGUAAGUAGCUGUACAGAGCUUGACGGUACCGAAUCAGAAAGCCACGGCUAACUACGUG